GAUGAAGAACGUAGCGAAAUGCGAUACUUGGUGUGAAUUGCAGAAUCCCGUGAACCAUCGAGUCUUUGAACGCAAGUUGCGCCCGAAGCCACUAGGCCGAGGGUACGCCUGCCUGGGCGUCACACGCCGUUGCCCCCCCAUCUACUCCUUCGGGAUUGCGGGGGGGCGGAUGAUGGCCUCCUGUGCGCCUAGCCGCGCGGUUGGCAUAAAUACCAAGUCCUCGGCGACGCACGCCACGACAAUCGGUGGUUGCGAAACCUCGGUUGCCCGUCGUGUGCGUUCGUCGCGCAUCGAGGGCUCGAAAAAAUGCUCGGCUCCGGCUGGGCUUUCAACGCGACCCCAGGUCAGGCGGGGUUACCCGCUGAAUUUAAGCAUAUCAAUAAGCGGAGGA
Molecule: unclassified non-coding RNA, 391 nt
Filed under: soil metagenome
Description: partial contains 5.8S ribosomal RNA, internal transcribed spacer 2, and large subunit ribosomal RNA
Rfam family: 5.8S ribosomal RNA (bases 1-122)
Source: RNAcentral